UACGUAGGGGGCUAGCGUUGUCCGGAAUUACUGGGCGUAAAGGGCGCGUAGGCGGUCCUGAUCGUCGGAUGUGAAAGGCCUGGGCUCAACCUGGGAAUGGCAUCCGAUACGGCGGGACUGGAGUGUGGGAGAGGUUGGUGGAAUUCCCAGUGUAGAGGUGAAAUUCGUAGAUAUUGGGAAGAACACCGGUGGCGAAGGCGGCCAACUGGACCACAACUGACGCUGAGGCGCGAAAGCGUGGGGAGCAAACAGG
RNAcentral lists this ribosomal RNA (253 nucleotides) under uncultured bacterium. RNAcentral describes it as "partial 16S ribosomal RNA". It matches the Rfam family "Bacterial small subunit ribosomal RNA", at positions 524 to 776 of the family's 1533-position model. The record is from RNAcentral.